AGUCACGUGUUUUGCUCUUCGGAAACAUCAGCUCUGCCUUCAUGAAACAACCCAGAUGCCUGAGACUGUGGCAGCAGAACUGCUGCUGCAACUUGAAGCUGGGCAGGAGCAGUUCUGAAAGAGAAGGUAAGAUGCUGGGGAGGUCCCUUAGUCCCUUGGAAGCAGGGCUGAGACACAUCUUAGAACUAGUUACCCUGUCCAGGUGUGUUCAGGUUUUUCUAGGACAGGCUCUGAUUUCCUUUAGUUUUUCCUGAGCUUCCCAAAUGGCACUCAGGAAUCUGCUGUGUCCUUCAUAUUUUCUUCUUGAGGUUGCCUGGGUUUUUUUUUUUUUCUCCAGUGAGCCUCAUUCCCUUUAUGAGUUUCUUUGGUUAAUUUGGCUCCCAGUUCCUUGGAAACCUCCUCUGGAGACAAUGCUGAAGGUUUCUACACAUAUGCUCCAAUUUGUAGGCUCCAUAGCCCUCAGCACUGGAAUUGGGGAUGCAGAAGCACCCCAGUGUUUAGAAGCUAUCAGCAGGACUGGAUUAUAUUAUGCAUUGAAGCAGCAACAAGGGCUAUCAGUGUAUUCGUUGUCAUUUGUCUCCUGGUGCCAGUGGUUGAGUAAGAGGAGCAGGACGCCAGCUGCCUGCAUCUGUAUUCAUGCCAUCUGA
This 647-nucleotide long non-coding RNA is filed under the name Struthio camelus australis. RNAcentral's name for it is "lncRNA (ENSSCUG00000013760.1)". Lineage: Eukaryota; Metazoa; Chordata; Aves; Struthioniformes; Struthionidae. The record is from RNAcentral.